This 520-nucleotide ribosomal RNA is filed under the name Carabus przewalskii elnarae. RNAcentral describes it as "partial 16S ribosomal RNA". The stretch from base 394 to 520 matches the Rfam family "Bacterial large subunit ribosomal RNA", at positions 2473 to 2599 of the family's 2925-position model. The record is from RNAcentral. Lineage: Eukaryota; Metazoa; Arthropoda; Insecta; Coleoptera; Carabidae.
GUCCUUUUGUAUUUAUUUAAGGUCUAGUCUGCCCACUGAAUUUAAAUUUUAAAUGGCCGCAGUAUUUUGACUGUGCAAAGGUAGCAUAAUCAUUAGUUUUUUAAUUAAAAGCUUGUAUGAAAGGCUGGACGAGGUAAAAUCUGUCUCUAUUUAAAUUAUAAUAGAAUUUAAUUUUUAAGUUAAAAAGCUUAAAUGUUAUUAAAAGACGAGAAGACCCUAUAGAUCUUUAUAAUUUAUUAAUUAAAAUUAAUUUAGAAUUAUUAAUAUUUUAUUUAAUUAAAUUAUUUUAUUGGGGUAAUAUAAAGAUUGAAUUAAUUCUUUUUUAUAAUAAACAUUAAUUUAUGAAUAUUAGAUGAUCCAGUUUUAUUGAUUAUAAGAUUAAGUUACCUUAGGGAUAACAGCGUAAUUUUUUUAGAGAGUUCAUAUCGAUAAAAAAGUUUGCGACCUCGAUGUUGGAUUAAAGAUUAUUUUAGGUGUAGAAGCUUAAUAAUUUUGGUCUGUUCGACCAUUAAAUCUUUAC